Molecule: RNA transcript, 2543 nt
Organism: Populus trichocarpa (black cottonwood)
Lineage: Eukaryota; Viridiplantae; Streptophyta; Magnoliopsida; Malpighiales; Salicaceae
Exons: 8
Source: RefSeq, a predicted model, not a curated record
CUUAAACCAGAACAGGAAUAUACUAUACUUGUCCCCGAUCUGAAGUAAGGCAUCAAAGCUCAAAGGCACCCCCACUCCAUCGUCUCCCAAACAUAUAUCAUAACAACAUUCCCAUCAAAAUUCAAAACCAAACCCUAAAAAUUAAAAUUCAACUUCAAUCCUCAGAAAAACCCAAAAAAAAUUUAUAAACCAUUCAACGUAAUCUCUUUUAUUUUGCUUUAAAAGAAAAUAAAGACCUGUUAAUUAGCCCAAUUCCCACCAUCAGCAGCUCAUGGACCUUCAACGCGCUAUGCUAGAUGAACUCAUGGGUGCAGAUCGUAAUUUGACGGAGGAAGAGAGAAAAGAUUACAAGGAAAUAACAUGGGAUUCAAAGGAGGUUUGUGCCUAUUACAUGGCUCGGUUUUGUCCUCAUGACCUCUUUGUCAACACCAAGAGUGAUCUUGGACCAUGUGAUAGAGUUCAUGAUCCAAAGUUGAAAGAAAGCUUUGAGAAGUCCCCAAGUCAUGAUGCAUAUCUUGCCAAAUUUGAAGCUGAACUUGCUCUGAGAUGUGAGAAAUUGGUUAUGGAAUUGGAUAGAAGAGUUAGGCGUGGACGAGAACGCCUAGCUCAAGGGGAUGAACCAGUAGCACCUCCUCCGCUGUCAGCUGACAAGUCUGAACGGUUAUCCGUGGUGGAAGAGAAAAUAAAAAACCUACUGGUGCAAGUGGAAGCCCUUGGUGAAGUUGGGAAGGUGGAUGAAGCUCAAGCUCUUAUGAAAAAGGUGGAUGAACUCAAUGCUGAGAAAGCACUGAUUCAAUCCCAGAAUGAUAAAGUAUUGGUGGUUCCACAGGAGAAAAAGAUGGCUUUGUGUGAGAUUUGUGGUUCUUUUCUAGUUGCGAAUGAUGCUGCAGAGAGAACUCAGUCUCAUGUCACGGGGAAGCAGCACAUUGGAUACGGGAUGGUCCGGGAUUAUAUCACCGAGUACAAGGAAGCUAAGGAGAAGGCAAGGGAAGAGGAAAGACUAGCAAGGGAAAAAGAAGCCGGAGAACGGAAGAAACCAAGGGAGAAGGAAUAUGAGAGUAGUAGUAGGAGGAGUGAUUCAGGUGAUAGGGAUCGGUAUAGAGAAAGGGAGCGGGACCGGGACCGAGAUCGUGAAAGGUCAAGGGAGUGGAAUGGUAGGGGCAGUCGAGGUGAUUGGAGGACUAGGAAUGGAAGAGAUGGUGGGAAGGAUAGGCAUCGUUAUCGGAGCAGGUCACGUUCCCCUGUUAGGCAUGAUCGCAGGAGGUCACCUAGAAGUCCAGUUCGCCCAUAUUAGAGGAUUAUGUUGAUAUAUAUCUGAGUUUAAAAUCAUGAGGUAGACAUUUUUAAUCUCAAAGUUUCAUAAACAUGUGCUUUUGGAGUCUCACGUCAAUUGUCAUCAUGAGUGAAUUUUUUCUUUGCUAUCUCACAGCUUUAUUGAGAGUUUUCCUCUCUUUCAUCAAAUAUUUUUAGAGGAGGAAAGGUUGGAGGUAGGUAUUACUUAAUGCUGUCGUGACUACUUUAUGGUUGAACUAUAUUUUUUUUAUGCAUUUGUCUCUGUAGCAUUGCUUCAGAGUCUAGUAUUUGUCUUCUAUCUUUCUUCAUUGAUGUUCUCAUGUACUUAAGAGGACAGAUUCAAAAUAUGUGCUUGAGUGACACUGCGGCUGAUACUGAUGAUGGUUUAGUGUCUCAAUCUCGAGAAACCCAAAGUUGGACUAUUUUUGCUUGCAACCAUUGCUUGUUAACUAGACAGGGAAAGAAAUUUGGGAAUCGCAAUCCCCGGUGCUAUUAACCAUGUCCCAUUUCAAGUCAGCUUGCAUUUCAUUGUUAGCUCAUUGAUGAUCUAGUAAGUAGGAAAGCUCAAAUCCCCACUUAUUUUGCCUUUGCCAUUGUCAUAUGAAACUCAAAGUGACUGGGUGGUGUGAGCGCUUUGCAAAUAAAUAGGCAGUCUUUGAGGCCAGCUAGAUUGUGUUUUUGGGUGGGUGGAUGACCAGGAAACCUUAACUAUUCAGUUUCAUGGGAUAGCAGGUUUUCGUUUUACAGAGUAGUGGGUGCCUUUGGAGUAAAAAUUUCAAAAGCCAGGAUCGGCCAAGUAUAGGUAACUGCCCUUUACAUAGUAUUUUUUAGAGCUCAGAUGUCUCUUAAAAACUCAAUUGUUUGAACAGUAUUUUUUAUGCUUGCUUGAAAAUCUACUUCAGUGGACUGGAAUCGGAUGCACUUUAACUUGAAAUGGUGUGGUACCUCGAGGUAACUUAAAUCUAUAUGAUAUAUCAAAUAGCAUAUUUCUGUUCCAGCCUGCAGGAAAGACAUGUAAUCGGUUGAACUUGGAUGGCAGAGUUGCCGGGGGUAAGUAAGGACCUGAUGUGAUUUGGGGAUGUUUUGUGCAUGGGAAUGGGAUAUUAAAAUCUGGCUGGUGCCAUCUUAUUGAAAUUGAACAAUGUCAGAUUGGAAAAUUUGUAAUGACAAUUUGCGGUUGGAAAGUUUUGCGACCUUGCAUUGCUUGAACUAAACUAAUGUUGUAAUUCUAGCAUAUGGAUUUUGUUUCA